AAGUCGAGCGCCCAGCAAUGGGAGCGGCAGACGGGUGAGUAACACGUGGGGCUCUACCCAAUGGUACGGAAUAACCCAGGGAAACUUGGAUUAAUACCGUAUGUGCCCUUCGGGGGAAAGAUUUAUCGCCAUUGGAUGAACCCGCGUCGGAUUAGCUAGUUGGUGAGGUAAAGGCUCACCAAGGCGACGAUCCGUAGCUGGUCUGAGAGGAUGAUCAGCCACACUGGGACUGAGACACGGCCCAGACUCCUACGGGAGGCAGCAGUGGGGAAUAUUGGACAAUGGGCGCAAGCCUGAUCCAGCCAUGCCGCGUGAGUGAUGAAGGCCUUAGGGUUGUAAAGCUCUUUCGCCGGUGAAGAUAAUGACGGUAACCGGAGAAGAAGCCCCGGCUAACUUCGUGCCAGCAGCCGCGGUAAUACGAAGGGGGCUAGCGUUGCUCGGAAUCACUGGGCGUAAAGCGCACGUAGGCGGAUCGUUAAGUCAGGGGUG
Molecule: ribosomal RNA, 489 nt
Filed under: Xanthobacter sp.
Lineage: Bacteria; Pseudomonadati; Pseudomonadota; Alphaproteobacteria; Hyphomicrobiales; Xanthobacteraceae
Description: bacterial SSU rRNA
Rfam family: Bacterial small subunit ribosomal RNA
Source: RNAcentral